AAUAGAUACCCCGGUAGUCCUAGCCGUAAACGAUGAACACUAGGCGUAGUCGGGUAUCGACCCCGGCUGUGCCGUAGCUAACGCAUUAAGUGUUCCGCCUGGGGAGUACGGCCGCAAGGCUAAAACUCAAAGGAAUUGACGGGGGCCCGCACAAGCAGCGGAGCGUGUGGUUUAAUUCGUCGCAACGCGAAGAACCUUACCAGGGCUUGACAUGUGGCGGAAAACGGCGGAAACGUCGUCCUCCCGCAAGGGACCGUCAUGCAGGUGUUGCAUGGCUGUCGUCAGCUCGUGUCGUAAGAUGUUGGGUUAAGUCCCGCAACGAGCGCAACCCCCGUGGCAUGUUGUAUCUCUCAUGCCAGACUGCCGAGAGAAACUCGGAGGAAGGUGGGGAUGACGCCAAGUCAGCAUGGCCCUUACGUCCUGGGCUACACACACGCUACAAUGGCCGGUACAACGGGUUGCCAAACCGCGAGGUGGAGCUAAUCCCUUAAAGCCGGUCUCAGUUCGGAUUGCAGGCUGCAACUCGCCUGCAUGAAGCCGGU
Molecule: ribosomal RNA, 542 nt
Filed under: uncultured bacterium
Lineage: Bacteria
Description: bacterial SSU rRNA
Rfam family: Bacterial small subunit ribosomal RNA
Source: RNAcentral